RNAcentral lists this long non-coding RNA (393 nucleotides) under Homo sapiens (human). Its description in RNAcentral is "HSALNT0282486". Lineage: Eukaryota; Metazoa; Chordata; Mammalia; Primates; Hominidae. The record is from RNAcentral.
AGUUGCACCUCGAUAGCAGCCUUACUGCCGUGAGUAGAGGAACAUGCUAGAAAGCCCCAUGGCCUGCCUCUCCAGCCUCCCGCUUCUCAAUGUGUGCCCAUCACUGAAGACCUGGCUUCCCAAAACUUUCCCAAAGGUCUGGCUUUGUUCCGGAAUAUAUCGUCUGACAAGUACAGCUCUCCCUCACAAGUAAGCACAAAAUUGGCUUUAUUUGCAUUGAAUAUCCAGUACAAUUUGUGGUAAAUUCACGAGUUCUUAGGAUUUGUUUAUGCAUAACGACGUGUAACAGAGCACUGUGAGAUGAUCAAAUUCAAUCUUUUCAGUUCUUGGGGUUGCUAGAAUCUGUUUUUUGUGUUUAUUUAACUCUCCAACUGCUAAAAUGUAGGUAUAAAU